GAUCAUGGCUCAGGAUGAACGCUAGCUACAGGCUUAACACAUGCAAGGUCGAGGGGCAGCAUAACGAAAGCUUGCUUUGUUGAUGGCGACCGGCGCACGGGUGAGUAACGCGUAUCCAACCUUCCCUAUAGUAGAGAAUAGCCCGGCGAAAGUCGGAUUAAUGCUCUAUGUUCUUCUUUGAUGGCAUCUGACGAGAAGCAAAGGUUCACCGCUAUAGGAUGGGGAUGCGUCUGAUUAGGUAGUCGGCGGGGUAACGGCCCACCGAGCCAUCGAUCAGUAGGGUUCUGAGAGGAAGGUCCCCCACAUUGGUACUGAGACACGGACCAAACUCCUACGGGAGGCAGCAGUGAGGAAUAUUGGUCAAUGGGCGAGAGCCUGAACCAGCCAAGUAGCCGUGCAGGACGACUGCCCUAUGGGUUGUAAACUGCUUUUAUAGGGGAAUAAAGUGAGGUACGUGUACCUUUUUGUAUGUACCCUAUGAAUAAGGACCGGCUAAUUCCGUGCCAGCAGCAGC
Molecule: ribosomal RNA, 514 nt
Filed under: uncultured bacterium
Lineage: Bacteria
Description: bacterial SSU rRNA
Rfam family: Bacterial small subunit ribosomal RNA
Source: RNAcentral